Molecule: transfer RNA, 70 nt
Filed under: Propithecus tattersalli (Tattersall's sifaka)
Lineage: Eukaryota; Metazoa; Chordata; Mammalia; Primates; Indriidae
Also listed under: 1 other name
Description: tRNA-Gly
Source: RNAcentral
AUUCUUUUAGUAUUAACCCAGUACAAUUGACUUCCAAUCAAUUAGUUUCGGCGAAACCCGAAAAAGAAUA